GCCAGGCAUGGUGGUGAGUGCCUGUAGUCCCAGCUACUCGAGAGGCUGAGGUAGGAGGAUCGCUUGAGCUCAGGAGUUCUAGGCUGUAGUGCCCUACGCCAAUUGGCUGUCCGUACUAAGUUCAGCAUCAAUAUGGUGACCUCCUGGGAGCAGGGGACCACCAGGUUGCCUAAGGAGGGGUGAACCGGCCCAGGUCGGAAACAGAGCAGGUCAAAACUCCAGUGCCGAUCAGUAGUGGGAUCGAGCCCAUGAAUAGCCACUGCGCUCCAGCCUGGGCAACAGAGCAAGACCCUGUCUCUA
Molecule: unclassified non-coding RNA, 300 nt
Organism: Callithrix jacchus (white-tufted-ear marmoset)
Lineage: Eukaryota; Metazoa; Chordata; Mammalia; Primates; Cebidae
Rfam family: Metazoan signal recognition particle RNA
About the family: The signal recognition particle (SRP) is a universally conserved ribonucleoprotein. It is involved in the co-translational targeting of proteins to membranes.
Source: Ensembl